UCAGCUUUCUUUACUGUCCAGCUUUCACACCCUCAUAUGGAGAGCAGGAAUACAAUAGUAGAGAUGAUCUUGGUCUUGGUCUCCAGUGAUACAUCCUUACACUUUCAUAUUUUCUAAUUCCAGCCUUCCUCUGAUUUCUUUGCUGCAGUCUCCAUUUGGAUAGAUGAUUGAAUCAAGGUAUACAAAAUCUCUAUUUCAGUGUAUUCGUUGUCAAUAUUACAGUUGUAUAGUUCUUCUGUAGUCACAAUUUUUGAUUUCUUCUUAUUCAAUUGCAGUCCUGCUUUGGCACAACUGGGACAGAAUGGAGCAAAAUAAAAAAGUACUGUAACUAACGAAAUUAGAGUCACAAUGCCUUUGUCAAGAACAUAAUCUCUUGGGUUGCCUAAGACUAAAUCCAUGGAAUAAAAAUGGGUGGGACCAGAUUUCCAUAUUGAACAGAGCUGAGGUAGCCUUGCAACUGGAAAAUUAUGCAAGGUGUGAUGAUACUUAACAACGGAAACAGCAAAAUGCAUGCUUAAUUGCAGGAAACGCACAGCUUUAUAUGGAACAGCACGUCAACAUGUAGAGAGUCAUUGUUUAAAUAGCUGCUGACUGUCUUCAGCUCAUUUUAAAACCAAGAAACAAGAGGCUUCUGCUGCAUGCAGUGCUUGAUGGGAAAAAUCU
Molecule: long non-coding RNA, 663 nt
Filed under: Pogona vitticeps (central bearded dragon)
Lineage: Eukaryota; Metazoa; Chordata; Lepidosauria; Squamata; Agamidae
Description: lncRNA (ENSPVIG00000022289.1)
Source: RNAcentral